GGAAUAGUUAUCAUUGGAAAGUUAUGACAAUUGCUAAUUGUUUGGGGCAACUCUUGGGUGUUCGACUCACCUCUAUUCCA
This 80-nucleotide transfer RNA is filed under the name Coniophora olivacea. RNAcentral's name for it is "tRNA-Ser". The record is from RNAcentral. Lineage: Eukaryota; Fungi; Basidiomycota; Agaricomycetes; Boletales; Coniophoraceae.